Non-coding RNA from Ictidomys tridecemlineatus (thirteen-lined ground squirrel), 69 nucleotides. The record is from Rfam. Lineage: Eukaryota; Metazoa; Chordata; Mammalia; Rodentia; Sciuridae.
GGGGUUGUAGUUCAGUGGUAGAGCGCUUGCCUUGUAUGUGUGAGGCACUAGGUUCGAUCCUCAGCACCA